Molecule: ribosomal RNA, 300 nt
Filed under: uncultured Methanosarcina sp.
Lineage: Archaea; Methanobacteriati; Methanobacteriota; Methanomicrobia; Methanosarcinales; Methanosarcinaceae
Description: bacterial SSU rRNA
Rfam family: Bacterial small subunit ribosomal RNA
Source: RNAcentral
GAUAAAUCGUGGCCAGUGGACGCGGUAAGACGGAGGAUGAGAGCGUUAUCCGGGAUCAAUGGGUUUAAAGGGGUCGUAGGAGGGCUUAUAAUGCAGAGGUGAAAGCACUGAGCUCAACUGAGUAACUGCCUGUGAAACUGUAGGUCUUGAAUGUUUGUGAAGUAGCUGGAAUGUGUAGUGUAGCGGUGAAAUGCAUAGAUAUUACACAGAACACCGAUUGCGAAGGCAUGUUACUAACAAAUUAUUGACGCUGAUGGACGAAAGCGUGGGGAGCGAACAGGAUUAGAUUCCCUUGUAGUC